CUGCCACUGAAGAGUCCCACAAUAGGACGAAACGGCUGUCCAGUAC
RNAcentral lists this non-coding RNA (46 nucleotides) under Schistosoma mansoni. The record is from RNAcentral. Lineage: Eukaryota; Metazoa; Platyhelminthes; Trematoda; Strigeidida; Schistosomatidae.